GUGGGGAAUAUUGCGCAAUGGGGGAAACCCUGACGCAGCAACGCCGCGUGAAGGAUGAAGGUUUUCGGAUUGUAAACUUCUUUGAUGAGGGACGAACAAAUGACGGUACCUCAAAAACAAGCCACGGCUAACUACGUGCCAGCAGCCGCGGUAAUACGUAGGUGGCGAGCGUUGUCCGGAAUUACUGGGUGUAAAGGGCGUGUAGGCGGGAUUGUAAGUCAGAUGUGAAAUUCCGUGGCUUAACCACGGCGGUGCAUCUGAAACUGCGAUUCUUGAGUGCUGGAGAGGAUAGUGGAAUUCCUAGUGUAGCGGUGAAAUGCGUAGAUAUUAGGAGGAACACCAGUGGCGAAGGCGGCUAUCUGGACAGUAACUGACGCUGAGGCGCGAAAGCGUGGGGAGCAAACAGGAUUAGAUACCCUGGUAGUCC
RNAcentral lists this ribosomal RNA (427 nucleotides) under uncultured bacterium. RNAcentral's name for it is "bacterial SSU rRNA". It matches the Rfam family "Bacterial small subunit ribosomal RNA", at positions 354 to 796 of the family's 1533-position model. The record is from RNAcentral.